GGUCAUAGCUCAGUGGCUGAGCAUCUGCUUUGCAUGCAGGAGGUGCCAUGUUCAACCCCUGGGCAGCAUCU
Podarcis lilfordi (Lilford's wall lizard) is the source of this 71-nucleotide non-coding RNA. NCBI's taxonomy places the organism in Eukaryota, Metazoa, Chordata, Lepidosauria, Squamata, Lacertidae. The record is from the annotation of a GenBank genome assembly.